ACAACUGCAGCGAGAGAAGAGGCUGGCAGCAUGGGUGGCAGGNNGNUUGGCAGCCUCACAGGAUGCCUGCAAAUACCUUUCACUUAUGCAGUUUGGCAGUGCAGUGGUGCAUGGAGACAGCGUCUUGGGCCUGGCACCCACAGCCACUUAGGAAGUUGGAGUCCUGGAGAGGAGAACACAGAACGUGGACAACUAGCUGUCAAAUUGCAGUAAAAGUUGGUUCAGGAAAAGUGGAAGCUACCCAGAUGUCUACCAAUUGAAGCUUCUAUUCUGGAAUAGAACAGCUAGCAUACUACCAAGACUUUUCAAGGAGCAAGAAUGGAGCUCCCUGGAGAACUGACUGAACAUGGCNUNNNNNGNNNGUAUCCAUGUCACAUUUCAAAGGCCAGAUCUUUCCCAGGGCUUAAGCUGUUCCUUGGAUACUUUUGCUGAUGGUUUACACAUCUUCUUCCCACAUUAUAUUGUAACUUUCUU
This 474-nucleotide non-coding RNA is filed under the name Homo sapiens (human). The record is from RNAcentral. Lineage: Eukaryota; Metazoa; Chordata; Mammalia; Primates; Hominidae.